CGUGAGUGUUUGCGACGGUUAGCGUCUGGUAUCGGUGCUCACCGGGUGAACAUUCAUUAU
RNAcentral lists this microRNA precursor (60 nucleotides) under Ascaris suum (pig roundworm). RNAcentral's name for it is "Asu-Mir-36-o28_pre stem-loop". The record is from RNAcentral. Lineage: Eukaryota; Metazoa; Nematoda; Chromadorea; Rhabditida; Ascarididae.